UACGGGGGGGGCAAGCGUUGUUCGGAAUUACUGGGCGUAAAGGGCUCGUAGGCGGCCAACUAAGUCAGACGUGAAAUCCCUCGGCUUAACCGGGGAACUGCGUCUGAUACUGGAUGGCUUGAAUCCGGGAGAGGGAUGCGGAAUUCCAGGUGUAGCGGUGAAAUGCGCAGAUAUCAGGAAGAACACCCGUGGCGAAGGCGGCUCUCUGGGACGGUACUGACGCUGAGACGCGAAAGCGUGGGGAGCGAACAGG
RNAcentral lists this ribosomal RNA (253 nucleotides) under uncultured bacterium. RNAcentral's name for it is "partial 16S ribosomal RNA". It matches the Rfam family "Bacterial small subunit ribosomal RNA", at positions 524 to 776 of the family's 1533-position model. The record is from RNAcentral.